RNAcentral lists this ribosomal RNA (2659 nucleotides) under Cyathura carinata. Its description in RNAcentral is "18S ribosomal RNA". It matches the Rfam family "Eukaryotic small subunit ribosomal RNA". RNAcentral also lists the same sequence under 1 other name. Lineage: Eukaryota; Metazoa; Arthropoda; Malacostraca; Isopoda; Anthuridae. The record is from RNAcentral.
UACCUGGUUGAUCCUGCCAGUAGUCAUAUGCUUGUCUCAAAGAUUAAGCCAUGCAUGUCUCAGUACAGGCCUACCUAAGGCGAAACCGCGAAUGGCUCAUUAAAUCAGUCAUGAUUCAUUGGAUGUCGUAACACCCUUACUUGGAUAACUGUGGUAAUUCUAGAGCUAAUACAUGCAACCGAGCUCCGACCCCGCUGUCAUGGCGGGGGAAGGGCGCUUUUAUUAGAUCAAAAACCGAGUGGGCCUUCGGGUCCGCUUCCCACAAAGAAUCCAGUCGAUGACUCUGAAUAACUUAGCCGAGCGCUGAGGUCUUGGAACCGGCGCCGUAUCCUUCGAGUGUCUGCCUUAUCAGCUCUCGAUUGUAGGUUAUACGCCUACAAUGGCUGUAACGGGUAACGGGGAAUCGGGGUUCGAUUCCGGAGAGGGAGCCUGAGAAACGGCUACCACAUCUAAGGAAGGCAGCAGGCACGCAAAUUACCCACUCCCGGCACGGGGAGGUAGUGACGAAAAAUAACGAUGCGGGACUCAUCCGAGGCCUCGCAAUCGGAAUGAGUCCAAUUUAAAACCUUGGACGAGGAUCCAUUGGAGGGCAAGUCUGGUGCCCAGCAGCCGCGGUAAUUCCAGCUCCAAUUAGCGUAUAUUAAAGUUGCUCCGGUUAAAAAAGCUCGUAGUUGGACUUCGUGUCCGGACCGGCCGGCCCAUCCAAGGCGCGCCCUCGUCGACAGCGGGCCGGUUUCCGUCGCCUUUCGCUCGUCCCGGGCGUCGCGGAUCGGUCUAAAAAAGCCUCCUUGCCCCUCCUCGCGCGUUUCCUUGGCGCGCGCGCUCCCGGGGAGCCCACAGCGGUCGGCGCUCCUCCGCUAAACGGUGGUUGGCGCCCCCGCGGUCGGCGAGUCGUACGUCGGCUUUCCUUCGCGGCGGUUUUCCCCCUCGUCCUCCGCUCCGCUUUCGAUCUUCGGAUCGGAGCGAGCGAGCGGGGCGGGAGCCGUCGGCCCAAUAUCGGGGGAUCGUUCGAGUGCUUCACGCUCCGCGGACCAGGCGCCCUCCAUCGGGGGGAAUCCGCCCCCGAUGUCGUUAGCUCCUCCGGCCGAGUUAGCGCGUCGUCGUUAAAGAGGGGCCGCUUGGGGGAUCGCAAGGGGCUUUCCGAUUCGCGCUUACGGCGCCUCGGGGUUCAAAAGCGGGCGAGGGCGAAGUUUCGCCCCCGGCGGGUAAGCGCGCCAGGUGUUCCCCGCCCGGCUCCGGAUUGAAAAAGCCGCCGGCUCUCACGGGGUGCUCUUACAUUCCGCGUGUCCCGCGUGGCCGGCACAUUAACUCUGAACACAAAUAUCAACCAGUCGUCUUAAAGCAGGCAAAACUAUUCACGCCCGAAUGGCGGUGCACCAGAAUGAUGGAUACAGGACGCAUAGUAUCCACCUAAUUUAUCUGACUCCAUUUUCGGAACCCGAGGUAAUGAUUAACGGGAACAGACGGGGGCAUUAGUAUUGCGACGCUAGAGGUGAAAUUCUUGGACCGUCGCAAGACUAACCACUGCGAAAGCAUUUGCCAAGAAUGUUUUCAUUAAUCAAGAACGAAAGUUAGAGGAUCGAAGGCGAUCAGAUACCGCCCUAGUUCUAACCCUAAACGAUGCUGACUGGCGAUCCGCCGGCGUCAUUCCCACGACUCGGCGGGGAGCCCACCGGGAAACCAAAGUCUUUGGGUUCCGGGGGAAGUAUGGUUGCAAAGCUGAAACUUAAAGGAAUUGACGGAAGGGCACCACCAGGAGUGGAGCCUGCGGCUAUAAUUUGACUCAACACGGGGAACCUCACCAGGCCCGGACACCGGAAGGAUUGACAGAUUGAGAGCUCUUUCUCGAUUCGGUGGGUGGUGGUGCAUGGCCGUUCUUAGUUGGUGGAGCGAUCUGUCUGGUUGAUUCCGAUAACGAACGAGACUCUACCCUGCUAACUACGUCGGCGGAAUCGUCUCCCGAGACGGGUCCUUUCCCGAGUGUCUUUCGGCGUUUCAGCGGCGGCCGCCCGCUUCCUUUUCCUUCCCUUCCCCGUUCGCGGAGAAAGCGUUCGUUUUCUUCGGGUCGGUCUCGUGCCGGUCCGAGGGGAUGGGCGUUCGUAACCCUUUGCGGGGAGGAGGGGUUGUCGGUCACCGGCCGUCGCCGCCGGGCCUCGCGCGUCGGACCCAGCGAGGGGCGUCCGUCGCAACGUCUUCUUAGAGGGAUCGGCGGCGUCUAGCACGCACGAGAAGGAGCAAUAACAGGUCUGUGAUGCCCUUAGAUGUUCUGGGCCCGCACGCGCGCUACAAUGAAGGGAUCAGCGUGCUUUCCCCCUCCCGAAAGGAGCGGGUAACCCGUUGAAACCCCUUCCCGAUUGGGAUUGGGGAUUGCAAGUGUUUCCCAUGAACGAGGAAUUCCCAGUAAGCGCGAGUCAUCAGCUCGCGUUGAUUACGUCCCUGCCCUUUGUACACACCGCCCGUUCGCUACUACCGAUUGAAUGAUUCAGUGAGGUCAUCGGACUGGCGCCCUCGGUAGCCUAAGGCGCGCAUCAAACCCCGUUUCGGCGGGGGGCCGCCCUACGGCACCCCGGGCUGACGGAAAGAUGUCCGAACUUGAUUAUUUAGAGGAAGUAAAAGUCGUAACAAGGUUUCCGUAGGUGAACCUGCGGAAGGAUCAUUA